AAGGAAAGGAAAGGAAAGGAAAGGAAAGGAAAGGAAAGGAAAGGAAGAAAAACAAACUAUUCAUAGUAGACAGUAUGUGGAAGCAAUCAAGCAUUUAUCAAUUGAUGAAUGCACAAAUAUGAUAAAUGAUAGUCAAGCAGGGGAUAUUGUCCAGCCACAAAAGUGAAUGGGGCCCCACCAACAUGGUUCUUCCACACAGACGGAUCUUGAGAACAUGCUAAGUGACAGAAGCCAGUCACCAAGCGCGCAUUCCAUUUGUAUGAAGUGUUCAGAACAGGCAAUUUCACAGACACAGAAAAUAAACUGGUGGUUGCUAGGGGGGGGGUGGAGAGUGGCAAGCAGCUGGCAAGGGCUACGGGUUUCUUUGGGGGCGAUGAAAAUGUUUUUAAAUUGACUGUGGUGCUGGUUACACAACUUUGUGGCUCUACUGAAAACCAUCAAAUUACACACUUUAGGUUGGUGGACGUCCCAAUCAAGCUAGUAUUUCUAUUGGGAAGGCACAAAAAGUGUGGUCUUCAGGAAGCAACCCUAGCCACCCCAGUCUACACUACCCCUUCCCCUGCCCCUUUGUACUGGGAUUGCUGCUUUGAGCCACCCUCUCAGGUCACCACCAGGCCCUAAAGGCAUUUCUCCUCCGAAGCUAACUCCUCCCUGAGCCAAGGUUAUCCUUUCUACCAUCUCCCUCAACAGCCCUGUAGUUUCCUAUUUGAAAGCUGGGCACAGAAGGAAGCCACAGGUUCAAAUCCAACCCAGGACUCUUUGGGCAGCAGCAGACACAGCUUUCUCGAGGCUCUGUUGCUCAUCUGGAGUAGAGUGAACGCAUAGCACCUGAGGAAGGCAGCAGCCCCUUUCAGGGAGGCAUCUCUGGUUGCCGUUCUGCCAAUAAGCCUGCAGGCAUCUUACUGCAUCUGGCCAGGCUCUUUAGGCUGAUACAGUAACCUUAUACUCUCAGACCCCAUAGGUUCCCUUUUGUGGCACUGUCCAUACACUGAAGAAACCCCUAAUAGCGUGAGUUCUACAGAACAGUCUCAGGCCUCCCUCCUGUCGCAACAGAGGCCCCCUCAAGGCUGGUCACUCACCUGCUCAGAAAAGCCACAGUUCCUCAGGAUGUCGUGAGUACCACAGCAGAACAAAUGGAAGAAGAGUGCUUUGGAAAGAGCUGGCUGUGGCGGCACACACUUGUGAACCCAGCACUCUAGAGGCUGAAGCAGGAAGAAAGCAAGUUCCCAGAAACAGUUACGCCCUGCCGAGACCACCAGCACAGGCUUCCUUCUCGACCUGUUGUGAUUGUAGUGGCUGGACUGCCAACCUGGCUGGGCAGCCCAUUGGUCAGGUCCUUUCGUGUGUAUCCGGGGAGGAGACUGAACCCGGGGCUUCAGGCUGUGAUGUCACUAACUGCCACUCAGGCCCUUCUGCUGAUGCUGUACGGAAUAGGAUUGUCACCAGAUGAGCCCUGCCCAAGCACCUGACUGGAGAAACCGUGACACAAUGGCUCUUCAGGGUGUUUCACUUGGCAGCAGGAAACAGCUUUGGUUUCCAUCUUCUUCCCAUACCUCCAGUCCUGAGGCUUUGGAGUAUAGACAUAGUGUUAUUGCAAGAUCAGUCACCCUGUGCCAUGUCCAUAAGAAGCACAAACAUCUGCCCUGGCUGAGCAGGGUUUGAGGUGACGAGCCACCAUUUCUGCAGGGAGAAGGAGCAGCUGUUAGUAAGCACCAGGGGCUGACACACAUACCCUUAUCUCUGAGGUGGAGUCUGGGCACACGCUGAGGGCUGCCUUUGUAGCUGCCUUCUUGUUGCCCAGGCAGGAGUUGAAUGCUGCCAGGCUGAGGUCUCACCUGGAUGCUCAGACAGAGAGGAAUCUGCUCCCAGGCAGGCAUAUUGGCAGGACCGAGUUCCUUAAGGGCUUUGAUCUGUCUGUCCUGAAGGAAAGGGGAAAGCCUUCUUCCUCUCAUGGGUUGAAUUUUCAUGUGUAAUUAGACAGUAGUCACUUGCCUGCACUAUGACUAGGAGAAUGUCAGACCCCGAUGGCUUCAUAGUAACAAGAACCCACACUUGGCCCGGGAGCUGUGUGUGUGUGUGUGUGUGUGUGUGUGUGACUUUUUUUUUCUUCAAUCACAUUGGGAAGGAAUGAAACCUAAUCACAAAGACACUGACACUCGCCCAGAACUACACACACAUCAUUCCCUCCUUUAUUUGUGUCACAGCUUGGGUUCACACAUGAGGAUCCUCUGACAAACACACCCGAUCUCUUACUUAGGGUGCUGUUUAAAGUCACCUUAAUUUUCAUUUAUUUAUCUAUUUAGUUACUUGCUGUGUGUGUUUGAUAUGUGGGUGUGAGUGUGGGCAUGCUUGAGCCGCGGUGCGUGUGUGGAGGUCAGAGGACGAGUGGGAGUUGGUUCUCUCUUUCUCCCACAUGGGCUAUCAAACUCAGGCUGUCAAGCUGGGUGACAGGCACCUUCACACAGCGAGUCUCCUCCCAGCUCCAUGGGGGUGGUUUUUGCAGGGCUAGUCAUACAACUAGAGUCACCAAACUCUGCUUAAAUUCAGGACUAUCGUGGGCACAUUAAAUUUCAAAGAAGCUGAUUUUUAAAAGUGUAAUUUUUGGCUAUUAUGUUGUAAAAAAAACCAAAAAACAAAACAAAACAAACAACAACACAACAAAAAAAGAAAACCAAGAACCCCAGAACAAGUAUUCUUUUAUUUUUCAAAAACCAUCAUCUGAUAACAGAGCAAAGACACUGACUUAUGUCUUUACAAUUUCCCUUUGGUAGUAAAAUCAAUUUCAUCUGUGUCACUUAUCAGUUAUUUUCAUCUGUAGCAUUUGUGUCAUUUAUCAGUUGCAAAGAGGUUGUUACAGUAACAAGAAGCUGACAAAAAAAAUCACCAAAAACAACUCGUGGAUAUGCUGUACAUUGUUUAUAUGAAGGGCAUUGUGUAUUUUAUUAUCAUUAAAAAGCAAAGCCAUGA
Molecule: long non-coding RNA, 2967 nt
Organism: Meriones unguiculatus (Mongolian gerbil)
Lineage: Eukaryota; Metazoa; Chordata; Mammalia; Rodentia; Muridae
Exons: 2
Source: RefSeq, a predicted model, not a curated record